AGCUUACCUUGUGGUCUGCGACAUUGAUGGAGCUCUGAAUUGUUCCCAAAGGUAUCUUUGCUGAUUCUCUAGAAUAUUCCAAGUAAACCACCAUAUCAUCAUCAAACAGGGGACAUGAUUUUGAAAGCCAAAAGCCAAAACAGGUUUGGGAUGGAAAUGAAGACCAGCCUGGGCCCAUUCUCAAAAUGGAGAUUCCAGGAGGAACUCAUCAAUAUGAAAAGAGGACAGGCCACAAAGAGAUAUUCCAGGUUGAGAAGGCCACAGGAAUGGUUCAGUGUCCUGGAGAGAGAUCUCAGGCACUGAGGUCCUGUGUCUUCCUGCUACCACCACCUACACCACCCUCAGCCCAAGUCUUAUUGUUGUUUACCACUACUACCCUAGAGGGCUGCUCUAAGAUGAUGCACCUGUGGUAAGAAAUCUUUUAAAACAAAAGGAAGUGAAGCAUUGUUAAUGCUAAAACACCAA
Non-coding RNA from Phascolarctos cinereus (koala), 465 nucleotides. NCBI's taxonomy places the organism in Eukaryota, Metazoa, Chordata, Mammalia, Diprotodontia, Phascolarctidae. The record is from RefSeq and is a predicted model, not a curated record.